UUCAGGGAGACUUUGCAGCACCUUCCAGUGCUAAGUGAGGCCUACAGGAAAGACACAGAGGGACUUUUUACAAAAGUAGAGUCAUCACAGUUCAGUUGCCAAUCUCCAGCACCAGGACCUGCUGGCCCCAGCUGCCUUUGAAGUAGCAUCCUUUUCUUCUCACCUCCAUGAAAUCUGGCUGGCAGGAGCUGGAAGAGUGUUGUCAGCAAUGUUACAGGCCAGCUGGACAGUAAAAGAGCUAAGGGUCAGUUCUCCUGCAGCAGCUGAUCCACAGUACCGUCUGAUCAAUAUCAGCAGGAUAUU
Vidua chalybeata is the source of this 303-nucleotide long non-coding RNA. RefSeq lists it as uncharacterized. The record is from RefSeq and is a predicted model, not a curated record. The transcript is spliced from 3 exons. NCBI's taxonomy places the organism in Eukaryota, Metazoa, Chordata, Aves, Passeriformes, Viduidae.